GGUAGACACCACUCGUUUUGACGUGGAGACCGUGAUUGGACAGACGACGAGCAGGAUGCGCUUUCUUGCAGUUUUGGUUCUUGUGACUUGUCUAAUGUCAUUGGCGGCAGCUAUAUGUACAUGUACAUAUAAAGCUAAUGAAGUGACCUGUUUGGUGUGCAAUAAUGCGGAACUAAAGGUAAUACGAAGACCUCCGUGCUAUAACUUCAUAAGUCCGUGUGACGAGAGGUUCUUCCCUUGUACUACGGGAUACCAGUGCAUUGUUGGAUGCAACUGCACUGCGAUCUGCAUUAAAGACAAUGAAUGCUUCUAAUGCAGCAAGAGACAGAUGGAUUGAACGACGAUGGUCUCUGUCUCCUUUUGAUACGCAAUCUUUAAAUGAAGUCUUUUUAGGCUUAUUGUGGUUCCCACUCAUCUACUUCUCAUCUACAUCUACUGAGACAAUUAAUCCCCGAGAUGGGCGAAACACGUACAGGUCGCUUUCUGUUUUCUUACAUGAUAACGAAUUUUAAAAACGAGACACAUUUGAAGAGUUUGCUGCUAUGUACUAGUAGACUUAGACUUUUUCAUUAAUAUUGCUUACACUGCAUAUCGCACAAUCCAGCAGUGCAACAAACAUGGCAGUCAGAUAAUUAUUAGCGACACACCUGAUUGCACUCUUCUUUUUUAAGAACUCAACUUUACCUAGGCAUACCUUUGAAACUGAAAUAAUCCACAUUAAAUGUCACGUCUGUCCAUGUAUGGCUGUUCUAGCAAUUGUAGGAUACAUGUAAGUGUUCCGAUUAAAUUACACUUGAAAUGUUAGCAUCAAUCUACAAUCACACCUCGGUUUAUACUAGAUUCAGUUUGGUUUGCUCAUUUACCAAUAAUGAAACAACUUCUGCGAGGAGGCAUUCAAAGAUAAAACAAAAACGUAUAUUAGUGAAGUGGUAUUGUCAAGUUCAUAACUUCCAGAAAGCAGGGAUGAAUUCUAAACGUCAUUAUAUAUAUAUUAACAAUUAACCGGUACAUGUUGGUUAAGGACCUUUUUUUCUGAAUUUCUGAUAUUGAACAUAGCAUAUGCAAGUUUGACAUGUAUGUUUUAAUAAUAUCUCAAAAAUGUACAUUCGUUUAUUGCUAUAUCAUCUUGAGUGGAAUAACAGUUUUUUAUUUCUUUAAAAACACAACGUGCCUUCAAAGCACACU
Molecule: long non-coding RNA, 1185 nt
Organism: Lingula anatina
Lineage: Eukaryota; Metazoa; Brachiopoda; Lingulata; Lingulida; Lingulidae
Source: RefSeq, a predicted model, not a curated record